GAAAUGCGAUAAGUAGUGUGAAUUGCAGAAUUCAGUGAAUCAUCGAAUCUUUGAACGCACAUUGCGCCUCUUGGUAUUCCGAGGGGCAUGUCUGUUUGAGCGUCAGUACACACCUCCUUUGGGAUUUUUCUCACUGGGUCUUGGGACGCGGUUUCGCUUCGGCGGACCCCUCCCUAAUGUGGCACGCUUGCGGGCCCCCGGCCAGAUGUCAACGUAGUAAAUUUCAAACUCGUUCCCAGCUGUCGAAGGGCCUCGCCUGAUUCAAACUCUCAUGGUUUGACCUCAGAUCAGACAAGGAUACCCGCUGAACUUAA
This 314-nucleotide unclassified non-coding RNA is filed under the name uncultured Orbiliaceae. RNAcentral's name for it is "sequence contains ITS1". The stretch from base 1 to 105 matches the Rfam family "5.8S ribosomal RNA", at positions 50 to 154 of the family's 154-position model. The record is from RNAcentral. Lineage: Eukaryota; Fungi; Ascomycota; Orbiliomycetes; Orbiliales.